RNAcentral lists this ribosomal RNA (510 nucleotides) under Triticum aestivum (bread wheat). RNAcentral describes it as "partial small subunit ribosomal RNA". Lineage: Eukaryota; Viridiplantae; Streptophyta; Magnoliopsida; Poales; Poaceae. The record is from RNAcentral.
AUGGCAAUUGGGGCCCCUCCCAAAGCAGCAGGAUGCCCCCAUGGGUGCCGUUGGGCGGACGUUGCGCAAACCUCCGCGGUCAUAAUCUCUGAGUUUUGUCUUUUGGCAACUGUGCACAUUGAGGAGACCGACAUAAACUUCAAGUUCACCACAACGUAUGAGCAAAUCUCUUCUGCAAGAAAAGAUAACUUUUUGGCCGAUCUCAUCGCGCAAAAGCCUUUUGAUGAGAUGAUAUGGGUUGCUAUGUGUAAUUUCAAACAAAUAUACCAUGCCCACUACAAAAGCAAGCGAAACAUGGAUAGGAGCCGGAUAAACUAUUUUCGGGCAGCCCUCCAAACUUGUGAAUUGAAGGAGAUUCAUCUCCACACCCGUCACUUCACUUGCUGCAAUGAUCGUGCAAACCCCACCCUGUCCAAGCUUGACUCCAUUUUCUGCAAUGCCAAAUGUGACAUUCAUUUCCACUCCCAUGUGCUCUAUUCACUUGUUCCCUCUCUGAUCAUUGUCCACUGA